GCUGGCCAAGGCGCGACUGUGUUUGAAGAUUGCAUCGAAUAUAACUGCAAAUUGGUUCAUUAAACUUGUUUGCGGAACUCAAUGUUGCAAGAUUAAGUUGUGUGUGCAGAAAAAUCGUACUAGUCGGAUUGUGAUCUCUUAUGUAUGGGAUGCUGCGACAGUGCGCAAGGCAAUUGAGAAUGGAUACAAAAUGGAAGUCUUGAUAUCCCGACCACGUGGUCAACGACUGAUGUUCUAAAUGGCUAUCGGUGGAUAUCUAUUGAAUGAAGAUGCUGUGGUCAAUGCAUGUACUCUGCCGGUCAUUUACACGUGUAUAAAAACAUGUGACUUUACAUGGUCUAAAUGAUCUUUUGGUUUUGUGGCAAAAGGAGCCGUAUGGAAAUUAAUGCAAGUGGUUGAACAUUUUAGGUUCGACACGUCUAACGUCCCACGUGCCUAUCCACCACAAAUAUAUGCACAUAGCCCAAUAAAUGCUAAUAAAUGACUACAUUUCAAAUAUUAAAAA
Long non-coding RNA from Drosophila pseudoobscura, 505 nucleotides. RefSeq lists it as uncharacterized. The record is from RefSeq and is a predicted model, not a curated record. The transcript is spliced from 6 exons. Lineage: Eukaryota; Metazoa; Arthropoda; Insecta; Diptera; Drosophilidae.